CACUGCCUGCCCAGUGACAUCUGUUCAACGGCCGCGGUAUCCUGACCGUGCAAAGGUAGCAUAAUCACUUGUUCCUUAAAUAGGGACUUGUAUGAAAGGCUUGACGAGGGCUUAACUGUCUCUUACUUCCAAUCAGUGAAAUUGACCUUCCCGUGAAGAGGCGGGAAUAAUAUAAUAAGACGAGAAGACCCUAUGGAGCUUUUAAAUCUAUUAACUCAAGCAUAUAACUAUUAACCUCCCACGGAGACUCAAAACCCUGCUUAUGAGUUAAAAUUUUUGGUUGGGGUGACCUCGGAGCACAAGACAACCUCCGAAUGAUAUUAAUUAAGACAAACCAGUCUAAAUAAAAUCACUAAUUGACCCAAACUAUUUGAUCAACGGAAUAAGUUACCCUAGGGAUAACAGCGCAAUCCUACUCAAGAGUUCAUAUCGACAGUCAGGGUUUACGACCUCGAUGUUGGAUCAGGACACCCAAAUGGUGCAGCAGCUAU
This is a ribosomal RNA of 491 nucleotides. It matches the Rfam family "Bacterial large subunit ribosomal RNA", at positions 1853 to 2565 of the family's 2925-position model.